Non-coding RNA from Papio anubis (olive baboon), 101 nucleotides. The record is from Rfam. Lineage: Eukaryota; Metazoa; Chordata; Mammalia; Primates; Cercopithecidae.
AUUCUUUUGUGAUUCGUAAGCAUGAUUGGGUGUUCACACUCGCGGGUGAGAUGUGCCUCCUUCCAACCUUGUUACAACGUUAGCACAUUACCUGUCUGACA